RNAcentral lists this ribosomal RNA (464 nucleotides) under uncultured bacterium. RNAcentral describes it as "bacterial SSU rRNA". It matches the Rfam family "Bacterial small subunit ribosomal RNA", at positions 28 to 509 of the family's 1533-position model. The record is from RNAcentral.
GACGAACGCUGGCGGCGUGCUUAACACAUGCAAGUCGAGCGGUAAGGCCCUUCGGGGUACACGAGCGGCGAACGGGUGAGUAACACGUGGGUGACCUGCCUCUAGCUCUGGGAUAAGCCUGGGAAACUGGGUCUAAUACCGGAUAUGACUCCACGGCGCAUGUUGUGGGGUGGAAAGCCUUGUGUGGCUAGAGAUGGGCCCGCGGCCUAUCAGCUUGUUGGUGGGGUGANGGCCUACCAAGGCGACGACGGGUAGCCGGCCUGAGAGGGCGACCGGCCACACUGGGACUGAGACACGGCCCAGACUCCUACGGGAGGCAGCAGUGGGGAAUCUUGCGCAAUGGGCGAAAGCCUGACGCAGCGACGCCGCGUGAGGGAUGACGGCCCUCGGGUUGUAAACCUCUUCAGCCCUGACGAAGCGAGAGUGACGGUAGGGCGAGAAGAAGCACCGGCCAACUACGUGCC